Molecule: ribosomal RNA, 496 nt
Filed under: uncultured bacterium
Lineage: Bacteria
Description: bacterial SSU rRNA
Rfam family: Bacterial small subunit ribosomal RNA
Source: RNAcentral
ACUCAAAUGAAUUGACGGGGGCCCGCACAAGCAGUGGAUUAUGUGGUUUAAUUCGAAGCAACGCGAAGAACCUUACCGGCCUUUGACAUCCCUUCGACCGGCGUAGAGAUACGCCUUCCCUUCGGGGCGGAGGUGACAGGUGGUGCAUGGUUGUCGUCAGCUCGUGUCGUGAGAUGUUGGGUUAAGUCCCGCAACGAGCGCAACCCUUACUAUUAGUUGCUACAUUAAGUUGAGCACUCUAAUGGGACUGCCGUUGACAAAACGGAGGAAGGUGGGGAUGACGUCAAAUCAUCAUGCCCUUUAUGAGCCGGGCUACACACGUAAUACAAUGGCAAUUAACAAUGGGAAGCAAUGCCGCGAGGCGGAGCAAAUCCCCAAAAAUUGUCUCAGUUCGGAUUGCAGGCUGCAACCCGCCUGCAUGAAGUCGGAAUUGCUAGUAAUCGUGAAUCAGCAUGUCACGGUGAAUACGUUCCCGGGCCUUGCACACACCGCCCGU